Anolis carolinensis (green anole) is the source of this 977-nucleotide long non-coding RNA. RefSeq lists it as uncharacterized. The transcript has 2 exons. The record is from RefSeq and is a predicted model, not a curated record. NCBI's taxonomy places the organism in Eukaryota, Metazoa, Chordata, Lepidosauria, Squamata, Anolidae.
AGCAUGUUAUGCGGGGAGGGGCCUCCAGCUGAUGCAAAUCAAUAUCAAUCAUCUAUCAAUCUAUCUAUGUGUCUAUCAUCCAUCUAUCAAUCACCCAUCUUUCAAUCAAAGAGCCCCUUGGACCGCACUAACGACUCAAAACCAUGAUGGACAUGGACCAAACUUGGCACAAAUACUCCAUAUGCCCAAACGUAAACACUGGUGGAGUUUGGGGAAAAUAGACCUGGACAUUUGGGAGUUGUAGUUGCUGAGAUGUAUGUGUUGUUUAAAUGGGAAUGUCUAUCAUCCAUCUAUCAGACAACACAUACAUCUGAUUGAACCCUCACACCCCUCCUUGGGUUUACUGGAAAGAUGGGUGGUUGAUAGAGGGAUGAUAGAUUACAUAGAUAGAUAGAUAGAUAGAUAGAUAGAUAGAUAGAUAGAUAGAUAGAUAGAUAGAUAGAUGAUUGAUAUAGAUAGAUGAUAGAUUAGAUGGAUAGAUGAUUGAUAGAUGGAUGAUAGAUUACAUAGAUAGAUAGAUAUAGAUAAUUGAUAUAGAUUAGAUAGAUGAUAGAUUACAUAGAUAAUAGAUUAGAUAGAUGAUUGAUAGAUGGAUGAUAGAUCCUAGAUAGAUGAUAAAUAGAUAGGUGAUUGAGAUAUUAGAUAGAUAUAAGAUAGAUAAUAGAUUACAUAGAUUGAUAUAAAUAUAUGAUAGAUUACAUAGAUGAUAAAUAGAUGAUAGAUUAGAUAGAUGGUUGAUAUAGAUGAUUGAUUGAUUGAUGGAUGCUAGAUCAUCAUCUAUAUCAAUCAUAUAUCUAUCUAAUCUAUUCUCUAUUUAUCAUCUAUAUCAAUCAUCUAUCUAUGUAAACAGAUGAUAGAUUAGAUAGAUGAUUGAUAUAGAUAGAUGAUCGAUUGGCUAGAUGAUUGAUGGAUGGAUGGAUGGAUGAUUGAUUACACAGAUGGGUGAUUGAGAUAUUAGGUAGAUAUAAAAUAGAUAA